Long non-coding RNA from Triticum urartu, 1511 nucleotides. RefSeq lists it as uncharacterized. The record is from RefSeq and is a predicted model, not a curated record. NCBI's taxonomy places the organism in Eukaryota, Viridiplantae, Streptophyta, Magnoliopsida, Poales, Poaceae.
CCUCUCCUUUAAUUAUAUCUCUCCUUCCUAACGUGACCUCUCUCUCUCUCGUUUCAUCUUCCACGCGAUCCGCCGCCCCUUCCUCGUUUCCUUUUCCACGCGAUCCGCCGCCACGAGCUUGACAUCCACCUUCGGUGUUGCGCCUCGGCCACCCAGCUCCAUCAAGAAGCGGCGCAUCCAUGUCCUACCCCCAUCCAUGGCCAUCAGGAGAGCAUGAGAGAUUUACGUGUGAAAGAGAAUUAGCGAGAGUGGUCGAGUACAAGCUCUUUCAGACAUGUUUUUCUUUUAUGGCCUUUCUCCAGUUGAGGGAUUUUAGGAAGGUUUGAAUACUACCAUCAGAAAAAUCAAUUAAGUUCAUUCUGAACUUUAUCUUCAGAGAAGAUGGUGCUUUUUUCCUUCAGACCGGCAUGCCAAUGCGUGAGGUGCCAUCUAUUGCCAAAUUAGUUUAUAGGAUACAUUAGAUAUUAUGGUGAUCCAUGAAAAGGUUAAGUUUCCAUUCCAGGGUGUAGGCGGUAUAAUAGUCAAUAAAUUGUAUUUAUUUGCACGUGUAAAUUGAUUGUUCAUAUGCAUAGGAAUUGGUAUAAGAGAAAAAGCAGCUUGAUUCCUGUCCCGUACUGUCCGAAGCAAUUGUUCAUAUGCAUCAAGAUAAUUGAUUCUGGCCUGAAGCAACACACACUCACACAGCUCCUGAUAUAUCUUUGCGUUGGUCGAUCCUCAUGGCUGGAAACGUACUAGUACACGCGCGCGCACAAAAACCGGCUUAUUGCCAAAAGCUCGAAUCGAGCCUGGUUCUUUUCAUCUAUUUCACCUCACUGAUUAGUAUUUACAAAGGGAUAUACAUACGUAUAUAUAUCAGCUAGGACUAACACAAGCUAACCUACUCGGUCAAGUUCUAAUACUAAAAUACUAGGUGAUUGUUUUGUGUACAACCGGUACAGCACUACACACGUCGUGGUCAUUUCCAGCAUGCUCUUUGUGUACUUUAAUUAGCUUUAGCAAAAAAACAAAAAAGUUUUUGGCACCACCGUGGAUUCUUGUUUCAUUAUAUCUUGUGUUUCCAGCUGCUCUUGACGAUAGGUGCUCUUGUCUGAUAUGAAUAAGAGAUGCAGAUGUUUGCAUUUGAAUUCAGUUAUGAUCAUUAAUAUUAGUACAUAUCUAAUUGGUAGUCCCCAUGAAAUCCAGCAUGCUCGAGUUACUUGUUCUCAUACACUAAUUUUAUCUGCUAUUAUACUUUGUGUCAAUUUAUUUAUAUGGACCGACUUUCAUAAAUCACCAAACAUUUUGUAGGACUGAUGAUCCACCUUAUAAUAUAUAGAAGAAUGAGAAGGCAUUGUAAUCGCUGAUGAAGAAUUAUGUCCAUUCAAACAACGAUGGUGCCUAUGGAUUGAAGAUUAAUAAAUAUUAUGUUUUCUAGUUGUUUGCUUUUCCAAUUAGAUAUGACAAGUACAGUGGUCAUGUAAAGAGUGCUUUUGACUCAAAUUUCUCAAAUGGUAUUUUAACUAUAUAAUUCU